Molecule: long non-coding RNA, 406 nt
Organism: Grammomys surdaster
Lineage: Eukaryota; Metazoa; Chordata; Mammalia; Rodentia; Muridae
Exons: 2
Source: RefSeq, a predicted model, not a curated record
CAGGCAGCUUCGUCGCUUGAAAGCUCUCCCAAACAUGGACGCUGAGUUUUGAAGCUGCAGUUCUGGACUCUACAUGCUCGGCAGGCACCUUGCUGGGUUGAGAAGUCUCCCUCAGGCACCUCCAUCUUUGUGUUGUCUCUAAAUCCUUGUGGAGGAGACCUCUGUGAAUCCUGAAGUUUCAGCUUUCCCAGAAACGUGAAGAUCUUUACUUUCUGAGUCUCGUGAGCCUCCCUCUAGGAAGAAAUGUUUCCCUAAACAGCAGUUACCAGGAUAUCCUUAGGGCAAGUCUUUAAAGACCACUGACCAGAUGUGAGCAGCGACCUUACACUCUUACCAACACACAUUCCCCAGCAAAAUGGACCGUGCCAUCAAACUGUGAGCCCAAAAGAAGUUCUUUCCUCCUUAA